CGACCCACGUUUGUUAGAUGAGAGAGUGGUGCCUGAAGUAUGGACGUUGCCAUUUCAGACCUGGGUCAAAAACACAUAAGAUACUUACUUGUACUCUCUGAUAAAACCAACGGUAUAGUCUCAAAAGUCCCAAACCCAAAAGACCUUUUAUUCAGUUUUGAAUCCAUGAUCCAUAAAAACAAACUGAACUGUAGGCCUACAUAAUUCACAGCACAUCAAACCAAGGCUAAUGGAUUACGUAAAAUGUGUUCAUAUACUUUUCCCGUGUUUGAUCACCAGAGCUCAUAGCCUACAACUAUGUUUCUUACCACUGAAGUAACUAUGUAGAAAUGUUUUGUUUGCCUAAAAUACAAUCACUUCAAUUAUUUGGAUCGACGUUAACGUGAUUCCUCUCUUGGCAUUCACCGCGUGCCUUAAUUGUAUUGCUAUUAAAUCAAGGUCCGGCGUGAACACGAAAAGUGGUAAUCCUACCCCCAAAACACUCGCUCAGUUUACCUAUAAAUUGUCCUCAAUUGCAGAUUGAUUGCUUCAUUAGAUUAAUGCCAAUAACCACUACUCCAGUGUUCAGGAGUCGUGAGCUAAAUUUAAAUUGAGUGAAGCCGUUCAAAAUGUAUGUUGCAUUCAGUCAUCUAGCAGACUCCCAUCCAGAGCGACCCAAGGAGCAACCAGGGUCAAGCGUCCAGCCCAAGGGCACGUCGAGAGAUCUCCCACCAAGUCAAAUCGGGGACCCGAUCCAGCAACAUAUCGGCCACCGGCCCCAUUUCCCAACCAUCCAAGACCCCCCCCCCCCCCCCCCCCCCCACACAAUUCCUUGAGAGCUGCCCUUCAACCAUCCGAGAUGGCCUCAGGCAAACAGCAACUCCACUCCCACUUGUCUUCAGUUCCACAUCUCAACCCCCAGCUUCCCUCAGCCCAUUCCAUCCAUCUCUGCUGAUCACCCUCAGCCCAUUCCAUCCAUCUCUGCUGACCACCCUCAGCCCAUUCCAUCCAUCUCUGCUGACCACCCUCAGCCCAUUCCAUCCAUCUCUGCUGACCACCCUCAGCCCAUUCCAUCCAUCUCUGCUGACCACCCUCAGCCCAUCCCAUCUAUCUCUGCUGACCACCCUGAGCCCAUUCCAUCCAUCUCUGCUGGUCACCCUCAGCCCAUUCCAUCCAUCUCUGCUGACCACCCUCUUCGGAUUUCUAUGCGCCAUAUAGCUUUCAACUAUGCUGUGAUGUUUAACAUACAAUUUGAAUCUAUCUAAUUGAAUAGAAUCCACAGUUUGCAAGUUGAAGAUAAAUACUCUUACUAAGAGUAUUAGUAUAUUAGUAAUUGACUGACCAGAUCUCCCAACAAUGCUAUUUCUAGGGUCAAUUUUAGAUGAAUGGCUUUUUCAGCCAUUUCUCAACCUGAGACCAGAACAAAUGGUCUAUUGAUUCUGUAUUCUCACAACAAAAUCUGCAGAGCUGUGACAUUUGUAUGCCCCAAAUAUUAAACAUUUUGUUGGUGCCAAGAAUUCUGUUCAAUAAUUUUAGCUGAAGAGCACAAUGUCUUCAAUUAAUCUUACGUUGUUUUAUAUAUAAACGCAUACACCCUUUGCAAUGGAAUCGGUAUAUCAAAAAUCUCU
This is a long non-coding RNA of Oncorhynchus gorbuscha (pink salmon), 1607 nucleotides long. RefSeq lists it as uncharacterized. The transcript is spliced from 3 exons. NCBI's taxonomy places the organism in Eukaryota, Metazoa, Chordata, Actinopteri, Salmoniformes, Salmonidae. The record is from RefSeq and is a predicted model, not a curated record.